GGGGACGCUUGUGCGUCAUGUGUCUUUUGACUGUUCUUGCUCAGCACCCCUUUCAGGUUUUUACUUCGCUCAUCCCAUAUCGAUUGCUGGCGACAAGACCAAUAAAUGGCCUGACAGCGCCAUGCAAACUACUGUGCAAAGAUAAUCGUGGAGCCAGUGAGUUGAAUAGACUGGACUGGUUUUUAUAUUAACAUCCAGAGACUUCUCAGACAAAUAAGUUCAAUAUUUGUUUGAAACCUGUCUGGUUGCCUUGUUGACACUUCACUUACACAUUGGAACAUUAACCCCACCAGAACAAACAAAUCCAUCAAGCAUAAUCAUGGUUCUGCUUUUAGAAAGAAAUUUAUCUGUAGGGUGAAAGUCUAACAUACUGCCGACAUUUUUAAUUUGAUCCCUGAUGAGCGUUUUCAAAAACUUGGAGCUCCAUUGUCAAAAGUUAGCUGUUUCACGCCAAAAUGACACCAUUUGAUGAUGUACUUUUUAAAAAAAAAAAAA
Long non-coding RNA from Hippocampus comes (tiger tail seahorse), 495 nucleotides. RefSeq lists it as uncharacterized. The transcript has 2 exons. NCBI's taxonomy places the organism in Eukaryota, Metazoa, Chordata, Actinopteri, Syngnathiformes, Syngnathidae. The record is from RefSeq and is a predicted model, not a curated record.